This 76-nucleotide transfer RNA is filed under the name Staphylococcus aureus WAMC6081. Its description in RNAcentral is "tRNA-Thr". It matches the Rfam family "tRNA". Rfam says of the family: Transfer RNA (tRNA) molecules are approximately 80 nucleotides in length. Their secondary structure includes four short double-helical elements and three loops (D, anti-codon, and T loops). The record is from RNAcentral. Lineage: Bacteria; Bacillati; Bacillota; Bacilli; Caryophanales; Staphylococcaceae.
GCCGGCCUAGCUCAAUUGGUAGAGCAACUGACUUGUAAUCAGUAGGUUGGGGGUUCAAAUCCGGUUGCCGCCUCCA